This is a non-coding RNA of Potamilus streckersoni, 81 nucleotides long. The record is from the annotation of a GenBank genome assembly. Lineage: Eukaryota; Metazoa; Mollusca; Bivalvia; Unionida; Unionidae.
AACAGUUCCAGUGGCUUAGUGGUUAGAGCGUCCGCCUAGAUUGCUGGAGGUCGUGGGUUCGAUCUCCGGUCGAAGUUGUUU